This is a long non-coding RNA of Neofelis nebulosa (Clouded leopard), 3177 nucleotides long. RefSeq lists it as uncharacterized. NCBI's taxonomy places the organism in Eukaryota, Metazoa, Chordata, Mammalia, Carnivora, Felidae. The record is from RefSeq and is a predicted model, not a curated record. The transcript has 2 exons.
UGCUUCUAGAACUACCCUCGGGGCACAUUGACCUCUGUUACUAGGUUAUGCAGACACCCAAGUCUACUAAGGCAAGUAAUGGACACUUAAUUCAUAGGGUCACUGAAUUUUACAGCCAGAAGGAACUCUGACUUCAUGGUCUAAGAAGGAGAGAUGGCUCACUCUAAUGUCAGAAUGAGAUCUAAGGUGUUCAGGAGUAUUCCAUUCUACCUCACUUGCAUGUCUUUCUUGUUUCCUGUGGCAAUAAAUUGUUAAGAUAACUAGCCUCUGUAUGUCAACUAUACUUCAGUAAAAUUAAAAAAGGAAAAAAGGUAAUCAGCUCCUAUUUAGAGGGAAUGAAUCAGUGUAAUAAUAGAUGUGAGCUCACAUGAAAGUUAAUUGAAAUGGUUAAUGAAGGAAGAAGCAGGGACCUUCCUUCUCAGUAAGGAUUAAAAUCAAGACAAAAAUGUGUUUGGGGGUGCUUAAGGCAUGGUAAAUAAGGUUUCACUGAGACCCGCUAAGGCAUUUAUCAGUUUAUGAUAUUGUGUUGUUUUUUCCACUUGCCUACUCAUGAGAUUUAAUUUUCCCUCAUCACCACCGAUGCUCUCUGUAAGUUAAUUUUCUUUGCCUCACAGGUUUGGUUGAGUAAUAUUUUUAUAAUACAUUGAUGGUUUAGCUUAACUUUGGAAAUGAAUGUUCAGACUUUGAUUCCCUGUCCCAUCAUCGUCUGCAUUCCUACUAAGCUGGUUCAGCCCCUCCUGUGUUUUCCCUGGGCUUCACAUUACUCCUCUAAGUGGUGCUUAGUUCUCACCUAUGAGCUUUUGCAUUGCCACCUCAUGUGAGCCUUGUAACCCCCCAGUGAUGCCAUAUCUUAAGGAAGAAACACCACUGGAUAGUACUGAUCUUCAGUCAAGAGUUGGAAAACAAUUUUACUUAGAGUUCCUAUUCUCUGUUUAGCAGGCUCUUGAGCUGCACUUCCCAGCAGAUUCUAACAGCCUUAGCUAACGAGAUAGAAAGCCUUCAAGGUCUAAGAAUGUAUGAUCAUCCCUUUGCUGCUAUCAGGACACUGAAAAUAGCCUACACAACUAACACCUAUUCUGGGACAUUCAGUAAAGACUUAAAACACCACUCCAAGGAAUGUACAGUUUUGCAGUCAGCUUUCAUAGUUUCUUAGAAUAAGAACUAUAGCUGAUGUGUGUUUAGUUAUUGUGCCAUGGAAAUGAUGGUUCUUAUCAUUUGGUUUGGAAUGUCAUGUUCUUCACUCUUUGAAUGUUUGGGUAAUUGUAGGUCAGUGAACACCAGUGCUUGUACUAGGAGUUAUAGCAGACACUGUCGGUUGCCUACCCAAGGGCCAUUGCCCCUUCUUCCUUGAAAAUAGAACCCUAAUUUUGAUCAGGUAUCUUGCCACAGUGCACUCAAGGAAGGCGUGCCCCUCCAAGUCAAGACUGGUCUUUGCCAUCGUGAUAAUUCCACUCUCCUUUGCCGUUGAUUGGUUGAAUGAGGUGAAGGCAGCAAGGCAGUGUGAGUGAAACCCCAUCCUGGCCAGUGAGACCACGGGGCAGAGUGUGGGGGUGGAGUGUGCCUUAUCCUCUCUGAUGAGAAGUUUCCCAUAUCUUUGAUUCAGUUGUGUAACGAUCUGAUGCCUGGAGCAUUGGGAGCCAUCUUGCCAUCACUGUGGCUCAAAGACAAAAGCCAGAAUGCUAAGGAUCGCCAAGGAGACAGAUGAGAAACCCAGAUUCUCGACUGCAUCAUUGUUUUGUUGAAUUGAUAGCCCUGGAGCUGCCUGUUGUAUGAAAUAAGAAACAUGUGUUGUUGAAGCCAUUUUUAAGCAGGUGUUCUUUUACUUGCAGCUAAAAGCAUCUCAACAAAUAUAGGGCUCUUUCCAUUCAAGGGGCAAGAUCAGUUCAAAUUGAUUCAAAGAAAAAUUGGCAGGGGUGGAGUUGCAGACCCAUUGGCCUUUGGAACCAGAAAACCUACCAGUGACACUGGCUUCAGACUCAGGUGGAUCAAGUCUCCUAAACUCAAGUUUUCUCCACCUCUCAACAGUGCUUCCCUCUGUUUCGGCUGCAGUCUCAGGCAGGCUCCCUCCGUGUGAUAAGCCGUUCCAGCUUCAGGCCUACUACCCUUACAGGAGAGUCACAGUGGGAAAACGUGGCCUCCUCUUCUUCCUGUUUCCACCAGAAGUUGUAGGAUGAACUCUGACCUCCUGGCUUCCCCAUUCUGCACACAGGGUGGGAUGGUGUUGGGGACUGGCCAAGGCUCUCCAUCCACAGGGUUCACUUCUUCACUGAUGUAGCAGAAGUAACUGUAGCCUGUAGGGCCAGGUCGUGGGAGGGUUGAUAGCAAGUAAAUCUUGCUUUCAAAACUUUUGUUAGGUAACUUGGGUGAUUGGAAUGCUAAGGGUAAUUCCAAGAAGAGUGCUGGGGUCCAGAAGGUAUUUUUUAUUAUGUUAGAAGACAUUUGGUUAGAAUUUAGAAAUGCUGACAACGCUAUCAAAAUAGUUUUAUAUUUCAUAAAGCUAUGUAAAUUGAAGGAAAACUUUUUUUUCUCUUACUGGAGCAAAGUGUAACAAAAUAUUGAGCUAUCCACCAUUUCAAGAAUUUCCAGCUUUUGUGCCAACGAAGAAUCUAGAUGAAACUGCCAGAGAAAAUAGAGUUUUCAUUCUUUAGGGAUAAACUCUCCCAGCCUACCUCUUCUAGCCCAAAGUUACUUUUCAGACUGCAGUCAUUGAGAGACAUGAUUGGCCUUUCGUGUUACAGUUACACAUUCAGAGUACCUAAGAAACUAUUGGUAUAGAAAAGGACUAUCUACACUUUAAAAGCACAUUUUCCCCCUUCUAUUGUCUUGUAAUUUCAAAUGAGCCUCCAGACUUUUCUCAUUGUUUCUAAAAAAAAAGUAUCAACAUGAAAUUCUAAAAAUAUUUUCUUGACCCUUCUUCAGAGCUUUUGGAUACUUUCUGUACUUAGGGAAUUUUGUAGCUUAGGCCUUUAAAAAAAAAUUUUUUUUUUUUGCACAAAGAGCUAGACAGAAAAAGAACAAUCCUUUUCAUUGACAACGUCAGCUAUUUUCAUUCUGCUUCAUUCCCUUCCAAACCAUAUGUAGAUUCGAUGACUUUACUUGGUUUGAAUUUGUAUCAUUUUUUGUGUUCUUUCCUUUUUACUAGUCUUUUCAUUAAAGUUCACAUAUUUACUUCUGUCA